This is a long non-coding RNA of Phragmites australis (common reed), 1082 nucleotides long. RefSeq lists it as uncharacterized. Lineage: Eukaryota; Viridiplantae; Streptophyta; Magnoliopsida; Poales; Poaceae. The transcript has 2 exons. The record is from RefSeq and is a predicted model, not a curated record.
ACCAGGGGUGAAGUCAAGUUGUCCUUGAUACAUUUUGUUUUUCAAAGUUGCAUGCUUAUAGUUGUUAAUAGGAAACCCAUGUUAGGUUAUAUCUUAGUUUCUCCAUAUGUACCUUGUUGUCUUGGUUUUGGUGGGAUCAAGGGUAGUAUUGCUUAGCCUUCUUGGUAGUCGGAUCAUGACACUUGGUACAAUAAUUUUGAUAAUGGUACUAUGCAACAUAAGAUAAAAUUGGUGUUAAUAUUUUUAGCAACAUGGGCUAGAAAAUUGAGCAAGAGGAUGGUUUGGAUCGCCAGUGCAGGUGGAUGGUAAUCUUGCUCGAUUUGAUGGUACAAUUGGACCAAGCUUUACAGUACAACCAUAAGCCUAGUAUAGGACGGGUCUGGCUAACUAAUUGGUUUCUCCAAACAUAAUGUAGACUAGAUGGUGGAACAGGGAACGAAAUGAUAAUUUCCCUAGAUUCGUAUGGUGCAAGAGGGGACUUCCGUUGUUGAGGUAUUAUUCACGCGGUAGUAAAACCUUAGCGGAUAGACACUUGUUGGGAGAGAUCUUGUAAAGGUCUUAUAGUGAUUUUCUAGCGGCACACCUCAGAAUUGUGUAAGUGUUUAGUUGACAUGGGCAAACGAAAAAAUAACGACUUGUAGGUAUAGUAUACAUCCUCUACAUAGUGUAAAAUUGAUUAAUCAACUAUGCUUGUGGUUAUGAACAGUGAGGAAUGCAACACAUGAUUAUAAUACACUUUUAAUGGUUUGGUGGUUCAUUCAUGGUUGCAAGAAACAUGUUUGAGGUGAUCAACUUCGGUUGAGGUGGGUUAUGUCAAGAUGAGUAAUUAUUGAGUCAGGGAAGAUUAUGAGGAUUAAUCUGGGGAUGGAGAAUUCUAAGGUGGUGCUCUAUAUCGACUGCGAGAUGCAUAAUAAGAAAAUUACGCUAGCUUUAAAGUUUUAUUUGCUUUUUGACCUUCAAAGGUCCUAUUUGUAAUAACAAAUAUUCACGUUAAGUUAUGACAUUGUGAUUUGUUAUCAUCUUUGAAGCCUAUUUAUAUUGAGUUCGAUUACUUUCUCAAUAUAUGGUAUGAGUAUUGGUCU